RNAcentral lists this non-coding RNA (155 nucleotides) under uncultured eukaryote. The record is from RNAcentral.
CGAGGGGGGGGGCAGAUAAUCAAACAAACAAACAAAGAAGAAACAAAGAAGAAGAAAAAGAAAAAGAGAAGAAAAAAUCGAAGCCGAAACAAACACAAACACACACAACACUACACGUUUUCCCUGUUCUCUUGUGUGUGUGUGUUUCCUCUCUC